GAUGAACGCUGACAGAAUGCUUAACACAUGCAAGUCUUUGGCGAAGCUGUGCUUGCACAGCCUAGCCAAGGCGGACGGGUGAGUAACGCGUAAGGAACUUGCCCUGCAGUCAGGGAUAACAGACGGAAACGACUGAUAAGACCUGGUAAAGUCAGGCGGACUCAUGUCCAGCCUGAUGAAAAGUGAUGCUGCAGGAGAGCCUUGCGUCCUAUUAGCUUGUUGGUGGGGUAACGGCCCACCAAGGCGAUGAUAGGUAGCCGGCCUGAGAGGGUGGACGGCCACAAGGGGACUGAGAUACGGCCCUUACUCCUACGGGAGGCAGCAGUGGGGAAUAUUGGACAAUGGGGGCAACCCUGAUCCAGCAAUUCUGUGUGCACGAUGAAGGUUUUCGGAUUGUAAAGUGCUUUCAGCAGGGAAGAGAAAAAUGACGGUACCUGCAGAAGAAGCGACGGCUAAAUACGUG
RNAcentral lists this ribosomal RNA (463 nucleotides) under uncultured bacterium. RNAcentral describes it as "partial 16S ribosomal RNA". It matches the Rfam family "Bacterial small subunit ribosomal RNA", at positions 28 to 507 of the family's 1533-position model. The record is from RNAcentral.